This is a non-coding RNA of Choloepus didactylus (southern two-toed sloth), 2406 nucleotides long. The record is from the annotation of a RefSeq genome assembly. NCBI's taxonomy places the organism in Eukaryota, Metazoa, Chordata, Mammalia, Pilosa, Megalonychidae.
GGAGGGGUGGGCUGGCCAGGGGAAGAGGAGACCAUUUGCAUGCAGGGCCCUGCCCCUGGGGACUGAGGGGAUAAGAGAGGCCUGGGGCAUGUCUGCCUCAGCAGAGCUCUGGGGUCUGCACCAUGGCCUGGACACCACUCGGCCUCCUCAGCCUCCUCAUUCACUGCACAGGGUCCCUGUCCCUGUCCCAGCCUGUGCUGACACAGCCGCCCUCUGCAUCUGCCUCCCUGGGAGCCUCAGUCAAGUUCACCUGCACCCUGAGCAGUGAGCACAGCAGCUACUGGAUUGAGUGGUUCCAGCAGAGGCCAGGGAAGGGCCCCCAGUAUGUGAUGCAAGUGAAAAGUGAUGGAAGCCAGAGCAAGGGUGAUGGGAUCCCUGAUCGCUUCUUGGGCUCCAGCUCUGGGGCCGACCGCUACUUAUCCAUCAGCAACCUCCAGGCUGAGGACGAGGCUGACUAUUUCUGUGGUGUAAGCUACAACAGUGGGUAUUACACAGUGAAACAGAUGGGUGGGGAAGUGAGACAAAAACUUUUCUCUGCUCUCGACUCAGGCUGGCACCUGCUCCCAGAGAGUGUCUGUUGUCCUGAGUGAUGAAAGCACUGGGUGUUUCCUUCUUAUUCCUCCAGGGGAUGCAGCUGCCUCAUGAUUCCAGUGCUGCUGGGCCUGGGGAGUAGGUGACUGUCUCUCUCCAUUUAAUGAUAUUCUUGCAAAGUUAGAACCACAUGGAUGGGAGCAGGUUAGUUGUUGCCAGGGGUGAGGGGUGGGGCAAAGGUGUCACUGUCAAAGGCAGCACAGGGUUAUUUGUGGAAGGAAGUUUGAUGGAGCUGCUCUGAAUCCUGAUUGUAAUAGAGGUGACCGAGAUCUACACUAGGCUGAAGGUUGUAGAACUGACUGCCCAAAAUAUCAAUUUUAUUGCUUAAUAAUUAAGAAAACAAAAUUAUAACACAGAGUUAUCAUAUUACCUGCAUUUCAAAUCAUAAGUUUGACUUGAAAUGAAAAAUAUAUAUCUGGACAGAUUUGUACACAAAUAGUUCUAGUGGUUUUCCAUGUUGUAACCAAAAGUAGAAACAAUCAAAACAUCCACCAAUUUGUGAUUGGAUAAACAAAAUGUGGUGUACCCAUAUAAUGGAAUUCAAAUCAUCAAUUAAAAAAAAUAUGUACUGACAGGGGGAAGGGGGAAGUGGGAGUGUAUGUUUUCUAGAUAUGGAGUGUCUGAAAAUAAGAUUAAUUAAAAAGGGAACUUUUAAAUUAAUGGUCCAUAUGUAACAUGAAUGAGCCUCAGAAACUGAUGCAAAGUAUCUUGCAAAGACCCCACACUGUAUGAGUCCAUUUAUAUGAAAUGCUCCAGAAAGUCACAUCUAUAGAUUCAUAAACUAAGUUAAUGGUUGCUUGGCCCUGGGAGUGGGGAUGGCCUGAAAUGGGCUGAAGGGAUCAUGGGGCUUCAUGGGAAUUUCUAAAUCCAGACUGCGGUGACUCUGUGAAUUUGCUGAAACUCCCUUAAUUGCACACCUAAAUGAUGUGAGUUUUCUGGUAGGCAAAUUUUAUCUCAGGAAAGCCAUUCACAUAUAACUUUUGUCAUAUUUGGAAGUAAUAUUUUCACUGUAAGGUAUACAAUAGAGGAUUGUGUGCAUGUGUUUGGUGUUGUGUGAGCAGCAGAAGAUUUAUUUAACACACAGGUGUUGGGGGAGAGUUUACCUCAGAGAGUCCAGUAGGUGUUGCUGAGAUCUGGGCCCUCCAACCACCAGGAAGUGGUGACCUCAGGAUUGAUCGCAGACAGACUUGACCUGCCAGCAGUGGAGAAGAGUAUGGGGAUCAGGAAGGAGGCCCCUGGGCACCAUGUGUGGUUGACCCUCAGGGUUUGUUGUCUCUCAGAGGGCAGGCAGGGCUGGGGAGAGGUGGCCUUGACAGACAGGAGGCCUCCAUUGCCAUUCACUGACCAGGUGAGGGGCACCUGCCCCUGUGUGACCAGCCCUCCUUCCCACUGGGCCUGGGAGGUUCCCUAUAACUGCCCAUACUCUGGAGGUGGUCACAGUAUUCAACUCCUCAAUAUAUAAAUCAUUUUGAGGUUCCACUUCUUUCCGGCUUAGUCCCUGACAUAUGCAAGUGUAGUAUGUUCUCAUGAACCUUCCUUAAAUUACCUGGGCAUCACCUGUAAAGGAGUCUGACAGGGCCUGGCUCAUCCAAAGGAUUUGAAGGAUGAGGGGUGAGGUGUGCAGCAGGAGCAGCUCAGUGGUGACAGUGAUCCCUUCCUGUCCUGGGGACCUGGGGGUGUGCACUGAGAGAAGAUAGGCUGGGGCCACCCUCCCACCUCCUUUAUGAGUUCAGGCUUCAAGCAAAGAGAUCUAGUCCCAGUAAGGAGACCAAGAUGAGAUGCUGGUGACACAUCAGGAGAUGACAGGAAAGUCUG